This 467-nucleotide long non-coding RNA is filed under the name Mytilus galloprovincialis (Mediterranean mussel). Lineage: Eukaryota; Metazoa; Mollusca; Bivalvia; Mytilida; Mytilidae. The record is from RNAcentral.
CACCAACCUUCAACCUACCAACCGAUUUUUCUGUGGAAAAUCCUGUUAAAAAAGGGUGAAAGUACAUAAGCAAAUUAUUAUCAUUUUCACAAGUUGCCACGCAAUUAACAAAUGCAAUCAAUACAAUGACAUAUAUGGAUUAACCCAGAAAUCGCUUUGAGUAAACUGAUGAUAUCCUUGUCAUUUUAAAUUCAUUCGUUAUUGAUACAGGUAAUGAUUUCUGUAAACUUACCCAAAUUAUAUCACAUGAAUUAUCCCCCUACGCAAAGCUUUCUUUAUCCAUUUUUUGUAAUUUUAAAAGAAACAAGCUUGAUUUAUAUUAUCAAUUGGUCAACGGCGGACGGUGUAAAUAGUCUUUAAAAAUGUAAUAGCUAAACAGAUAACUGCAACGAUACACUAUUACAAAGUCCACAAGCGAAUCAUGUAUUGCUUUUUAGGUAUUUGAUUUUAAAUAAGACUGACGGAAC